Molecule: ribosomal RNA, 497 nt
Filed under: uncultured bacterium
Lineage: Bacteria
Description: partial 16S ribosomal RNA
Rfam family: Bacterial small subunit ribosomal RNA
Source: RNAcentral
GAUGAACGCUGGCGGCGUGCCUAACACAUGCAAGUCGAGCGAACACACGAGGUCUUUGGUCCUCUGACGUCAGCGGCGGAAGGGAGAGUCACACAUGUAUAACCUACCUAUAAGACUGGGAUAACAACGGGAAAUCGUAGCUAAUGCCGGAUGAUAUAUUGAACCGGAUGGUUCACUAGUGAAAUUCGCUUUUGCUGUCAGUAAUAGCCGGAUCCGCGCCGCAUUAGCUAGUUGGUAAGGUAACGGCUUACCAAGGCUACGAUGCGUAGCCGACCUGAGAGGGUGAUCGGCCACACUGGAACUGAGACACGGUCCAGACUCCUACGGGAGGCAGCAGUAGGGAAUCUUCCGCAAUGGGCGAAAGCCUGACGGAGCAACGCCGCGUGAGGGAUGAAGGUCUUCGGAUCGUAAAUCGCUGUUGGUAGGAAAGAACAAAUGUGCAAUUAACUAGGCACGUAAUGACGGUACCUGAAGAAAAAGCCACGGCUAACUACGUG